CAGAAUUAGGGUUUCUUCCCUUUUCUCCCUAAAAAUUUCAGUCUGCUCGACAAAUUCAACUUGCUGUUCCUCCGAUUAGGUCAUGGAGGAUAAUGAAGGUGGGGAUGGAGUUGGUGGAGAGCCAAUCGAGCAGUUUCACAGGAAUGAAGCGAUCUCUGCUGUUGCCGAUGAUGGGUUUAUGGUUGAAGAGGAUGAUGAUUACGAAGAUCUCUACAAUGAUGUUAACGUUGGUGAGAAUUUUCUUCAAUCUUUUAGAAAGAAUGAGGAUUUAGUAUCUAGGAAUGAGGAGGUAGAGAGGAAGCCUGAGCAGCCUGUCCUUCCGGCGCCACCACCGGUGGUGGCAGCACUGCAAGUGGUGGAUGAGAGUGGGCGUGACGAUUUUCAGGGUGUGGGUGGGGAGAGGAAUCCUGUAAAAGAGGAGGAUGUAGUGUCUGGGAUUGCUGCUAGAGCGUCCGUAGGUCCAGCUGUGUCUGGGACUUCUGCUGGUAGUGGGUUUAGGGUUGAGUUAAGUCAUCCAUCAAGUAAGAUGGGUGAUUUAGCAGAGCGGAUGGUGAAUAGUAACGUUCCAAAUCAGGUGAUGGCUCAACAGCCUCAUGGUGGUGGUGUUGCAGUAGCUGCUGGAAAUCUGGGUAAUGUUGGAAAUAUGGGGAAUGAUAAUUUGAUAAGGCAAGGAGGGGUUAAUAUGAACGGGGCGGGUAAUAUUGUUG
This 707-nucleotide unclassified non-coding RNA is filed under the name Hevea brasiliensis (rubber tree). The record is from RNAcentral. Lineage: Eukaryota; Viridiplantae; Streptophyta; Magnoliopsida; Malpighiales; Euphorbiaceae.